RNAcentral lists this ribosomal RNA (515 nucleotides) under uncultured bacterium. RNAcentral describes it as "partial 16S ribosomal RNA". It matches the Rfam family "Bacterial small subunit ribosomal RNA", at positions 28 to 523 of the family's 1533-position model. The record is from RNAcentral.
GAUGAACGCUGGCGGCGUGCCUAAUACAUGCAAGUCGAGCGAAUGGAUUAAGAGCUUGCUCUUAUGAAGUUAGCGGCGGACGGGUGAGUAACACGUGGGUAACCUGCCCAUAAGACUGGGAUAACUCCGGGAAACCGGGGCUAAUACCGGAUAAUAUUUUGAACUGCAUGGUUCAAAAUUGAAAGGCGGCUUCGGCUGUCACUUAUGGAUGGACCCGCGUCGCAUUAGCUAGUUGGUGAGGUAACGGCUCACAAAGGCAACGAUGCGUAGCCGACUUGAGAGGGUGAUCGGCCACCCUGGGACUGAGACACGGCCCAGACUCCUACGGGAGGCAGCAGUAGGGAAUCUUCCGCAAUGGACGAAAGUCUGACGGAGCAACGCCGCGUGAGUGAUGAAGGCUUUCGGGUCGUAAAACUCUGUUGUUAGGGAAGAACAAGUGCUAGUUGAAUAAGCUGGCACCUUGACGGUACCUAACCAGAAAGCCACGGCUAACUACGUGCCAGCAGCCGCCGUAA